AACGAACGCUGGCGGCGUGGAUAAGACAUGCAAGUCGAACGGGAUUACUUCGAGUAGCAAUACCUGAAGUAAUUUAGUGGCGAACGGGUGCGUAACACGUGGGGAAUCUGCCGAGAAGUGGGGGAUAGCUCGUCGAAAGGCGAAUUAAUACCGCAUAUGAUCAGGGAAGACAUCUUUCCAACAUCAAAGCCGGGGCAACCUGGCGCUUCUUGAUGACCCCGCGGCCUAUCAGCUAGUUGGUGAGGUAACGGCCCACCAAGGCGAUGACGGGUAGCUGGUCUGAGAGGACGACCAGUCACACUGGAACUGAGACACGGUCCAGACACCUACGGGUGGCAGCAGUCGAGAAUUUUUCUCAA
This 359-nucleotide ribosomal RNA is filed under the name uncultured bacterium. RNAcentral describes it as "bacterial SSU rRNA". It matches the Rfam family "Bacterial small subunit ribosomal RNA", at positions 29 to 371 of the family's 1533-position model. The record is from RNAcentral.